RNAcentral lists this transfer RNA (72 nucleotides) under Chironomus novosibiricus. RNAcentral describes it as "tRNA-Val". It matches the Rfam family "tRNA". From Rfam's summary of the family: Transfer RNA (tRNA) molecules are approximately 80 nucleotides in length. Their secondary structure includes four short double-helical elements and three loops (D, anti-codon, and T loops). Further hydrogen bonds mediate the characteristic L-shaped molecular structure. tRNAs have two regions of fundamental functional importance: the anti-codon, which is responsible for specific mRNA codon recognition, and the 3' end, to which the tRNAs corresponding amino acid is attached (by aminoacyl-tRNA synthetases). tRNAs cope with the degeneracy of the genetic code in two manners: having more than one tRNA (with a specific anti-codon) for a particular amino acid; and 'wobble' base-pairing, i.e. permitting non-standard base-pairing at the 3rd anti-codon position. Lineage: Eukaryota; Metazoa; Arthropoda; Insecta; Diptera; Chironomidae. The record is from RNAcentral.
CAAUUUAAAGCUUAAGUAGUAAAGUAUUUUAUUUACAUUAAAAAGAAAUAUGUGCAAAUCAUUUUAAAUUGA